CCUACGAGAGGCAGCAGUGAGGAAUAUUGGUCACUGGGCGGGAGCCUGAACCAGCCAAGUCGCGUGAGGGAAGACGGUCCUAUGGAUUGUACACCUCUUUAGGCGGGGAGCAAUGCCGGGCACGCGUGCCCGGAGGGAGAGUACCCGCAGAAUAAGCAUAGGCUAACUCCGUGCCAGCAGCCGCGGUAAUACGGAGGAUGCGAGCGUUAUCCGGAUUCAGUGGGUUUAAAGGGUGCGUAGGCGGAUUUUUAAGUCAGCGGUAAAAUGUCCGGGCUCAACCCGGGCCGGCCGUUGAAACUGGGGAUCUUGAGUGUGCGAGAAGUAUGCGGAAUGCGUGGUGUAGCGGUGAAAUGCAUAGAUAUCACGCAGAACUCCGAUUGCGAAGGCAGCAUACCGGCGCCCGACUGACGCUGAGGCACGAAAGCGUGGGGAUCGAACAGGAUUAGAUACCCUGGUAGUC
This 460-nucleotide ribosomal RNA is filed under the name uncultured bacterium. RNAcentral's name for it is "partial 16S ribosomal RNA". It matches the Rfam family "Bacterial small subunit ribosomal RNA", at positions 338 to 795 of the family's 1533-position model. The record is from RNAcentral.